CCUACGGGUGGCAGCAGUGAGGAAUAUUGGUAAAUGGGCGCGAGCCUGAACCAGCCAAGUAGCGUGAAGGAUGACUGCCCUACGGGUUGUAAACCUCUUUUGCCGGGGAGCAACGGGCGCCACGUGUGGCGUCACUGAGAGUACCCGGAGAAAAAGCAUCGGCUAACUCCGUGCCAGCAGCCGCGGUAAUACGGAGGAUGCGAGCGUUAUCCGGAUUUAUUGGGUUUAAAGGGUGCGUAGGCGGAUCGUUAAGUCAGUGGUCAAAUUGAGGGGCUCAACCCCUUCCCGCCAUUGAAACUGGCGUUCUUGAGUGGAAGAGAAGUAUGCGGAAUGCGUGGUGUAGCGGUGAAAUGCAUAGAUAUUACGCAGAACCCCGAUUGCGAAGGCAGCAUGCCGGCUUCCGACUGACGCUGAAGCACGAAAGCGUGGGGAUCGAACAGGAUUAGAUACCCUAGUAGUC
Molecule: ribosomal RNA, 460 nt
Filed under: uncultured bacterium
Lineage: Bacteria
Description: partial 16S ribosomal RNA
Rfam family: Bacterial small subunit ribosomal RNA
Source: RNAcentral